This 1317-nucleotide long non-coding RNA is filed under the name Capra hircus (goat). RNAcentral describes it as "lncRNA (ENSCHIG00000007310.1)". Lineage: Eukaryota; Metazoa; Chordata; Mammalia; Artiodactyla; Bovidae. The record is from RNAcentral.
GUCCCGCCGGCCCCGCCCCCCGUUUCCUGUCGGCCCGAGCUCCCUCUCCCUGAGCGCGAGGCAGGCUGGGAAGUUGGCUGCCGUAAAGAUGGCGGCAGACUUGAAAAGCUGGAGGCGCUCCUGUAGCUCUGGUGGGCAGGAGGACGGGCUGAAGGCGGGGCAGGCGCGCUCUGGCCCUCCCUGACGGGCGUGAGGGGUGGUGCGUAGGGCGCGACAGACGCGCUCCCGCGGUCCUGAAGGGCCGAGGAGGGCAGGCUCAUUCUCGGCGGCUCUGAAGGGUUGGAGGCGGGGCGUGUGGGCCGAAGGGGCGUGCGCACACGGGGCGGGGCGUAAUCGCGGGGGCGGGGCCGCGCCCUCGGCCCGGAAGUGCGGGGUGUGGGGUGCAGGGCGCGGACGGCCCCUGGCGGCCACGGGUGGAGACUGCGGCCGGGCGAGCGGCGCAGGACCGGCGGUGGCCGCGGGGCCAGGGCGAGCAUGUAGCGGCAGCGGGCGGCGCGGCGCUCCCGGGACGGGCCAGGCCGCGGGGGCCGCUCGCGGAGACAUGGAGGAAGAGGGCAAGAAGGGCAAGAAGGGCGCGCGGGGGAGGAAGGAGCCACGCCUUUCCGCCCCUUCCGGUCAGUGACUCUCCCCCAAACCUAGGCUCUCCACAUGGCCUUCCCGGCGGAGCCAGCUGUGUCCUUCAGUUGAGGAUUACUCAUCACAAGGGGCCCCAUUUCAAAAGGUAUUUCAAAUGAAGUGCAGCCAGAUGGUUUUCAGGAGAUUGUGUUCUGCUUCUCUCGCUUUCUUUAUUCAUUGCUUUUUUAUGUUCAUAGUAUGCCUGUCUAAAUUCAAGUGCGGUAUCAGUUGCAGUUACCUGCAAAGUUGGCUUAAGUCUGGAAAACAACCCAAGAAAGUGAUUCUGUAAGCAUCGACCACAGAGGGAUGCUGCCCACCAAAAAGGGAGAAAUCUGAGUUUAAUGUUUCUACCAAAGCUGGUAGAAGGCUUCAUAAGAAAUACAGUCAGUUGCAUCCUUCCCUGUCACAGAUAGGCAGGUGGGCCAGGGCCCUAUAGGAGGAGGCCUGUCACCAGCACUCUUGGCUGCCAGCAUUCUCUAGAUUAGCUGCCUCAGUUCUAGCAGAGGACCAAUCCUAGCCACAUGGUAUCUUCCACAGUCAGUCCAAACAGUGUCUGCUAAGGAGAAUUAUUCCUUUCAAAUGGGUACUAGCCUGUCUGUGACAGGGAAGGAUGAGAAUGACUGAAUUUUUUCUAGAACUUUCUACCAGCUCUAGAAGAAAUAUUUGAAUAUUCAGCAUAUUGAGAGAGACAGAAGUGGUAAG